Long non-coding RNA from Capsicum annuum, 7040 nucleotides. RefSeq lists it as uncharacterized. The transcript has 3 exons. The record is from RefSeq and is a predicted model, not a curated record. Lineage: Eukaryota; Viridiplantae; Streptophyta; Magnoliopsida; Solanales; Solanaceae.
ACAACUAAUAUAAUUAACGAACAAUUUUUCUAGUUGUUUAAGUGAUUUUAUCUUUUUAACUUAUAAACUCAUUUAUUUCCUUUUUGACCUGUUUUUUAAUUAAAUAGUUGGGAAGGUCUCACUUUUCUCUCGUGAUUACAGUGAUCUGCAUCUUCAACAAUUUCACUUAAAAAGCUUGCUCGGACUCCAAUGUAAAUUUUCUCCGGCAAAAUUCUUCUUCAUCGGUUUCAGUUUCAUUUCUUAUUGCUGGAGAUAUUACAGAUUCCGAUAAAGUCACCAAAUAAAUUAUCUCUGAAUCUUCUAUGUUCGAUGGCUUUGACGAUCUGAUUUAUUGACGGAGAAGAGAUACGAUAGGGAGGUUCGCGUCCCCCAUAGUGAAUAUGUAUACUUUCUAGUUCGUGCGAUCACACGCAUUAAGGACCUACCAUCUGGGGGAGAGCUGGCCUAUAUAGACUUGAUUAGGAUUCGAGAUUGGUUCUUGAGUUGACAUUGAAGUGGUGAGCUUCCAUACUUCGGAAGUCUACAUUUCAUGUUUUGGUCUCUUAUGUCCCAGACUAUUUAGACUUGUUUUAGGCUAUAUUGGGGACAUGUCCCGACACUUUAUUGAUACUCACUUUUGGUAGACGAUUUGUUUGGAUUACUGUGGAGAUUGGGUGAUUUUGGUCAGUUGUUUGGCCGGUCAUCGGUCGUCGGUUAUAGACAUGUUUUGAAUUUCCUUAAACUUGUUGUAUGUUGUCUUGUUAUAUGUCCAGGAUUCAUCCGACAUUGGGGAAUGUUGUGUUUAGUUUGGUUAGGUGCAGGGGGUGAUUUUCGAUUCAUAUGGGACUUAGAUACCUAUCACGGCCAAACCCUAUUUUGGGUCGUGACAAUAUCAAAACUAUGCUCCCACAAAUCCAUUACCUCAAACUACACCAAAACGAGUUUAAAAUAAUGAAAACCAUUUAUGUGGGUGUGUCUAAUUUUAUUACUUCUCUUUAAAAACAUAACAGAGCAGAAGAGCAAUUAGAGAAAUAAAUUUAUCGAAGCAGUGGUCUACCAAGACAAUUGGUUAGUAAGCUUAUUCUAAUGUACAAAUUAUAGGGUAAAAAGAUGCUUAGUAUGGAAUAUGUAAAAGAAUAACAUGUUUCUUCCACCAACUUCACCCAAUUAGUAAACAAAUUAGGGAGACGUGUACUGGCCCCAAGAGAAGGAAAAUAUUACUCCCUCAUUCAACUUCUAUCAUCACCAAAUCAUUACUGUCGCUAGUCCAUGCUUUCCAUUCUCAUCAUAAUUACAAUCAUCAGCUAGUCCAUGCUUUCCAUUCUCAAUUUAAUAUUAUUACUACAUUACUGCCGCCUCACCAAAUAUAUCUAUAUCAAAGAACUACAAAUAACAUUCGUACCUUAUCACUUCACGAGGAUGUCUACUAACAUUGUUUAGAUACUCUCUAUUUUUUUUCCUUACGCAACUUGCUGCCUCCUCCAAAAUAAUGGGAUCAAAAAUAGCCAUAGAGUUUUACUUAUAACAUUUUUAUUGUGAAACUGAAGGGAGAAGGGUAGGCUUUUGGCUUGUUCCUUUAAUUACUUCAAUUAAUAUUAAUAAUUGGGUAAAAUUACCAAUCAACCCUUCAUUAAAAAAUAAGUUGGACUAUUGCAUUCUCCUCCGCUUAAGUAACGUUCAUCCUCGAACGGGUCUAGAAUCUUACCUGAAGUUCCAAAUAAGUGAAGAUACCUAACUCGCACCUCUUCCUCGGAAUCCCAAGUAGCCUCCCCUAUUUGAUGAUUAUGCCAUAAUACUUUGACUGAAACUAUCUUUUUCGAUCUCAACUAUCGCACUUGCCUAUCAAGAAUAGCUAUCGAGCUUUCCUUAUAAGUCAGAUUCUCAUCAAGCUCUACAUCCUCCUGCUGGAUCUUAUGACUAUCAUCACGAACAUAUCUUCUAAGCAUUGACACGUGAAGCACAUGAUGAACCAUGAAAAAUCUCAGAGGUAAAGCAAGCCUAUAUGACACCAAUCUAAUUCGGUCCAAAAUCUCAUAACCAAUGUAUCUAGGACUUAGCUUACCUUUCCGGCCAAAUCUCAUAAUUUCUUUUAUGGGAGAAACUUUCAAAAAGACUUUUUCCCCUUUUAAAACUUCAAAUCACAGACCCUCUUAUCUGCAUAGGAAUUCUGCUACUUUGUGACGUCUUAAGUUGGUCCCAUAUUAUUGCAACCUUCUCCAAUGCUUGUUGAACUAAAUCUAGACAUAACUAUGCUUCGACGGGCUCAUACCAGCCAACUGGUGAAUAACACUUGUGGCCAUAUAGAGCCUUAUAUGGUGCCAUUUGAAUGCUUGGCUGGUAGCUAUUAUUCUAAACAAACUUUGCCAAAGGCAACUGGUCAUCCCAAUGGAUACCAAAAUCAAUCGUGCAAGCUCCAUGCAUGUCCUCCAAGAUCUGAAUAACUUGUUCAGACUUCCCAUUGGUAUAUGGAUGAAAGUUGUACUCAACUCAACCUGUGAAUCUAAUGACUUCUGAAAACAUUUCCAAAACUCAACAGUGAACUGUUUACCUCGAUCAAAUAUGAUUGAAAUAGGCACACUAUGAAGCUGAACUAUCUCUCAAAGGUAAAUUUUCGUUAACCAUUUUGUGCUAUAAGUAACCCGAAUUGGUAUGAAAUGGGCAGAUUUUGUAAGUCUAUCCACUAUUACCCAAAUUGAGUCAUGUUUCCUGAAGGUACUUAGCGACCCAACAACAAAAUCCAUAGUAAUCCUUUCCUACUUUCACUCCCGGAUAAUCAAUUUUUGCAUCAUUCCGCCAAGUUUUUGAUGUUUAUAUUUGACCUACUAAUAAAUUAAACAACUAGUCACAUAUUUCAAAAUAUCAAUCUUCAUACCUUUCCACCAGUACAAUCCUUGCAAGUUUUGAUACAUUUUCAUAGCACCAGGGUGGAUAGAGCAUCACGAGCUAUGAGCCUCUUUAAGAAUUAGCUGCCUCACAUCACCUACAAUGGGAACACACAAUCUCCCGUGAUGAUGUAACACAACUUCACCACCAAUAGUGAAGGACUUAACACCUACAUUCUACACUGGAUCUUGAAACCUAGAAAGGUAGGGAUUAUCAUAUUGGCAAGUCUUAAGUUGCCUACCUAAGGACGAAUGAACCACCAUAACAGUAACUUUCUAGACACUGUGUGAUCAAUUCAAACUUCAUAAUUGGCAAAAGACUGAAUAUCCUUAACUGUAGGUCAUCUUUCGGCAGAACAUCAGGCCAAGCUACCCAUAGACUUCCUACUCAAAGCGUCUGCUACUACAUUCUCCUUCCCAGGAUGAUACAAGGUGGUGAGAUCAUAAUCUUUAAGUAACUCUAACCACCGUUAUUGUCUCAGAUUCAAAUCUCUUUUCUUGAAUAAGUACUGCAGACUCUUGUGAGCAGUAUAGAUUUCACACGGCUCACCAUAUCUUGAGUGCAAAUAUAAUCGCGACUAAUUUCAAGUUGUGAACUGGAUAAUUCUUCUCAUGGGCCUUUAGCUAUCGAGAAACAUAUGCCACCACUUUACCAUUCAACAUUAACACACAACCCAAUCCAAUUCGAGAUGCAUCAUAAAAAAUAGUGAAACCACCCUUUGCUAUAGGUAAGGUCAAAAUCAUAACCUAAUUCAAUGUUGUCUUUAAUUUUUGAAAACUUUCUUCACAUUUAUCUGACCACAAAAAACCAUAUUUUUCUAAGUCAAGCAGGUUAAUAGGGGAAACUACCUUCGAUAAACCCUUUACAAACCCCCUGUAAUAAUUAGCUAGUCCCAAAAAGCUACGUAUCUCUGUAACAGUUUUAGGUCAAGGCCAAUAUCGAACUGCUUCAAUCUUCUUUGGAUCAACAUAAAUCCCAUCUCUUGACACCACAUGCCCCAAAAAGGUAACCAUGCCCAAUUAAAACUCACACUUUGAGAAUUUGGCAUAAAAAUUUUGUUCUGUAAGUGUCUGCAACACAACUCUCAAGUGUUGUCCAUGUUCUACCUCACCCCGAGAGUAAACCAAAAUGUCGUGAAUGAACACAAUCACAAAAUAGUCUAAGUAUGGCUUGAAUACCCUGUUCAUGAGGUCCAUAAAUGAUACAGGUGCAUUGCUCAGUCCAAAAGAUAUCACUAAAAAUUUAAAAUUCCCAUACCUGGUCUGGAAGGUUGUCUUAGUGAUAUCUUCGGCCUUUAUUCUCAGCUGAUGUUAACCAGAUCUCAAGUCAAUUUUAUAAAAGUGGGUAUCACCCUAUAACUUAUCGAAUAGAUUAUCAAUACGAGGCAAAGUAUAUUUAUUCCUUAUUGUUGCCAUAUUUAACUAUCUGCAGUCAAUGCACAUCCUCAUCGUGCCAUCUUUCUAUUUCAUAAAUAGUACAGGUGCACCCCAAGAUGAGAUAUUAGGCCGGAUGAAUCCCUUAUCAAGUAACUCCUGGAUUUGAAUGUUUAAUUAUCUCAGCUCAAUUGGAACCAUAUAACAAGGUAGAAUAGAGAAAGGUUGAGUCCCUGGCACUAAGUUAAUACAUAAACUCGUGAAUAAUGGGAACAUUGUUAAUAAAAACUUUCUCUGCUCGAGUGUUAUGAACGGUAGCAAUAAAACCCAAACAACUAUGGUUAAUCUUUCGACGGGCUUUUACAUAAGAUAUUAUAUUUCCCUGAGUCAUAAGAGUCAUACCUUUCCACACUAAAGGUGGUUCUCUAGUAAAAUCAAAAUGUAUAAGCUUAGCAUAACAAUCAACCAAAGCAUAACAUGACACCAACCAAUCCACAUCAUAAUCAUAUCAAAGUCAGUCAUUGGCAACAUAAGUAGAUCAACUAUGGUCUCCUUACCUUGAACAAAUAUUGCACAAUCUCUAUAGUCUCUAUCCAAUGAUAAGGUCUCUCACAUUGUGGAGAUAACAAUGUAUGACACAAUAAACGUCUCAAUCUUUCUUUCUAAGAAUAAAUAAAAAGAUGAAGACACAUUCAAAUACAUAGAACCAGGAUUAAUAAGAGUAUAUGCCUUAUGAUAAUUUACAGUGAUAAUACCUGUGACUACUGCAUUAGAUGCCUUUAUGUCCUGUCUAGCCAUUGCAAAGAAUCUUGGUGGUCCACCUAUUGUCUAUGCACCUUGAGCUCUUUGUCGAUCCUGUGGAGCUAUCCUAGCUAGAUGGGUGUGAGCAUGAGUACCUACAACAUCUCUCUACAACUAUGUAGUAGCUUGACUAGAACCAGAUCUCCUUUAGGAUAAAACUUAGCAAUAUUUCCUCUUUUACCACAAGUAUAACAAGGACCAUCAACUCAAAAACAACGCCCACUAUGAUCCCUGCCGUAAUUAGAAUAUUUUGGAUGUUGUGCGGAUUGAAAGAAACCACUACUCUUUUGCUAUAUUUAUUAUGGACCCUAUCUAUAUGGAUAACUAUUCCUUGAAGAUUGGCCAAAUGUCUCUGAUGGUGCAGGCCUAGACUGUCCACCAUAAAAAUCACUUUUACUCCCAGAUAGAGAACCACUAAACCCACUUGAGUUACAUACUUUUUUGUUUACUCGAUUAAUACUUUCCAUCUCAUAAUAAGACUUAGAAUGGAGAGAUGUGUCAACCACCACAACAUAGGAUCCAUUACUCAUAUACCGUAUCAUAGGACCAUGAUAACAAGCCUCAAAUCCAUCCACAAAUCGUCUCACUUUCUCUCUCCGGUCUGCAACCAAAAAUGGAACAUAGUUGUACAACUCAGUAAACUCAUCUUUGUCCUCAGUACCUGUAUCACAGGUCAUUAAACUGGAGUCUUAUGCCAUCUUGUUUGCUCAAUGGAAUAAAUUUGUCCAUAAAUAUGACUGAAAAUUUUGACCAAGUGAUCGGUGCCUUGCUUGUCUUCCCCUUAAAAUAGAAGUCCACCAUGCCUUAAGAGACCCUAAGAACAAAAAAGUGAUAAUUCUACGCCACGAGUCUCCUUCAAUCCCAACUUAGUCAGUAUCUUCUCACAGCGAUAAAUAAAAUUUUGAGGCUCAAUAGAAGAUGGUGUAGCAUCAAACUCUGGUGGCUAAAGAUCCAUGAAAUUCUUAAAAUCCUUGGGUUGAACUAUGUAACACCCCACAUUUUUAAGCUAGAAAUCAAACUGUCGUUUCUACGUGUGCAAACUCCAAUCCCAUGAUUUAUAUUUGAAUAUAUGUGUCAUGAUAUUUAUACUAGUGUGAGAGGUGCUUAUGAGGUUAGAAAUGUUUAUAGGAACCACUAAGAGCAAAGUUGAGCUAAGAGCUUUUGAUUCGGACAAAUUUUGGUAUUCGUACAAGGGUUAAAUUUGAACGUAUAUAAAUUUCAACAUAUAUGGAAUUUUGCAUCUCAAGACUCACCGAAAUAUAUAUAAUUGAAUUAUCUUUUCAAUGAUACAAAUUUUGCCUUAAUUCGAUACCCAAGCAAAAAGUUAUGAUCAUUUUUGUAAGAAACAGUAAGGGGUCGUGAUAGCCUCACACCGUAAGGGCUAUUCCACCUUUUUGAGGGCUAUUCUAGUCAGUUGUAGUAUGAAUUCAUGGUUCAUACUAGUAUUACAGUGUUAUGUGUGUAGUUUGUAAUUUCAAGUAGUCUUGAACAUAGUGAGAGAAUUCAGUUCAACUCAGUCUUCAGUAGAUAGAGUUAUCAAUACUCAUGUGAAGAUUAUAAGUAGCCUCAAUUGAAGUGUAGUAAGGAAGGGGAACAUAUAGUUGAGAAAGUAUUUGAGGAGUAUGUCUAAGCUUGAAAGUAGUAGUUGUGUUGCUUAAGGCAUAGUAAUUCUAUCCUAGCUUAUGUUUUAUUGGCCAAUAUUCCAUGUCAUAAAGUUGUAGCCAUGUUGCGAUUCCACCUUUUUGGAGGUCGUGUUGUGAAGGCUAUUUCCCGAGACUAGGGGUCGUGCCACGAAGUUUAUUUACACGGUAAAAGAAAUCAAAGGGCAAUUGGGUCCUUUUUUCUCAACCCAAGUCGUCCAAAACACGAUUUGGGACAUCCAUGAGGACAUUAUUUGUCCAUCUUCCUAAAAAUUAUUCACUAGAAACCCUUUCCCUUUCCCAAUAUAUAAAGAUCAAGCUUUUCCUCUCGAGAAGACAAGGAUUUAAGUGUGAUGUUUAUGUU